RNAcentral lists this ribosomal RNA (253 nucleotides) under uncultured bacterium. RNAcentral describes it as "partial 16S ribosomal RNA". It matches the Rfam family "Bacterial small subunit ribosomal RNA", at positions 524 to 776 of the family's 1533-position model. The record is from RNAcentral.
UACGAAGGGGGCUAGCGUUGCUCGGAAUCACUGGGCGUAAAGCGCACGUAGGCGGACUCUUAAGUCGGUGGUGAAAUCCUGGAGCUCAACUCCAGAACUGCCUUCGAUACUGGGAGUCUCGAGUUCGGGAGAGGUGAGUGGAACUGCGAGUGUAGAGGUGAAAUUCGUAGAUAUUCGCAAGAACACCAGUGGCGAAGGCGGCUCACUGGCCCGAUACUGACGCUGAGGUGCGAAAGCGUGGGUAGCGAACAGG